AUUGAACGCUGGCGGCAGGCCUAACACAUGCAAGUCGAGCGGAUGAAGGGAGCUUGCUCCUGGAUUCAGCGGCGGACGGGUGAGUAAUGCCUAGGAAUCUGCCUGGUAGUGGGGUAUAACGUCCGGAAACGGGCGCUAAUACCGCAUACGUCCUGAUGGAGAAAGUGGGGGGUCUUCGGACCUCACGCUAUCAGAUGAGCCUAGGUCGGAUUAGCUAGUUUGUGGGGUAAGGGCCUACCAAGGCGACGAUCCGUAACUGGUCUGAGAGGAUGAUCAGUCACACUGGAACUGAGACACGGUCCAGAGUACUGCGGGAGGCAGCAGUGGGGAAUAUUGGACAAUGGGCGAAAGCCUGGUCCAGCCAUGCCGCGUGUGUGAAGAAGGUCUUCGGAUUGUAAAGAACUUUAAGUUGGGAGGAAGGGCAGUAAGUUAAUACCUUGCUGUUUUGACGUUACCAACAGAAUAAGCACCGGCUAACUUCGUG
RNAcentral lists this ribosomal RNA (484 nucleotides) under uncultured bacterium. Its description in RNAcentral is "partial 16S ribosomal RNA". It matches the Rfam family "Bacterial small subunit ribosomal RNA", at positions 30 to 507 of the family's 1533-position model. The record is from RNAcentral.